Molecule: ribosomal RNA, 557 nt
Filed under: Arthrinium sp.
Lineage: Eukaryota; Fungi; Ascomycota; Sordariomycetes; Amphisphaeriales; Apiosporaceae
Description: eukaryotic LSU rRNA
Rfam family: Eukaryotic large subunit ribosomal RNA
Source: RNAcentral
AUUCCCCUAGUAACGGCGAGUGAAGCGGGAACAGCUCAAAUUUGAAAUCUGGCCCUUGGGUCCGAGUUGUAAUUUGCAGAGGAUGCUUUUGGUGCGGUGCCUUCCGAGUUCCCUGGAACGGGACGCCUUAGAGGGUGAGAGCCCCGUACGGUUGGCCACCAAGCCUGUGUAAAGCUCCUUCGACGAGUCGAGUAGUUUGGGAAUGCUGCUCAAAAUGGGAGGUAUAUUUCUUCUAAAGCUAAAUACUGGCCAGAGACCGAUAGCGCACAAGUAGAGUGAUCGAAAGAUGAAAAGCACUUUGAAAAGAGGGUUAAAUAGCACGUGAAAUUGUUGAAAGGGAAGGAUUUAUGACCAGACUUUUUCUGGGGGGAUCAUCCGGUGUUCUCACCGGUGCACUUCCCCCAGUUGAGGCCAGCAUCGGUUUCUGCCGGGGGAUAAAAGCUUCGGGAAUGUGGCUCCCUUCGGGGAGUGUUAUAGCCUGUUGCAUAAUACCCUGGCGGGGACCGAGGUUCGCGCAUUGCAAGGAUGCUGGCGUAAUGGUUAUUAAUCACCCGUCU